AACAAAUAUUUUCGAUUGCCAAAUCCCUAACGAAAUCCCAACACCCGCUUCCGUACUGCCAAAACCCUCUGAACCUGCAUUUCUACAGUCGCUCGCCACCCCGCCAAGCUUCGCCGGCGGUCAUAUCUGCUUCUGACACCUGCGUUUCCUACAGCUGUGAGAAAUUUUUUACCUUUUUGUAGGUCAUGGAUGAUAGUCUGUAUGACGAAUUUGGAAACUAUAUUGGGCCUGAAAUUGAGUCCGAUCAGGAGAGUGACAGGGAUGAAGAGGAGGAACUCCCUGUUAGGGCAGAGAACGAGGAUCCUAUGUCUGAUGAUGAGCAAGGCCCUGGGAGACCAAAUGGGAUGCUGAUCAGUAAUGAAGAUGUUGAUAUGGACAACCAGAUUGUUCUAGCAGAGGACAAGAAAUACUACCCUACUGCUGAGGAGGUCUAUGGUGAAGAAGUUGAAACUUUAGUAAUGGAUGAAGAUGAGCAGCCUCUUGAACAGCCUAUCAUCAAACCCGUGAAAAACCUUAAAUUUGAGUUGGGGGUUAAGGACUCAUCCACCUAUGUAUCAACAGAGUUCCUUUUGGGUCUCAUGUCUAACCCUACAUUGGUCAGGAAUGUUGCUUUGGUUGGGCACGUGCAUCAUGGGAAAACAUUAUUCAUGGACAUGUUGGUUGAGCAGACACAUCACAUUUCAACCUUUGAUCAGAACAGUGAGAAACAUAUGAGAUACACAGAUACAAGGAUUGACGAGCAGGAAAGAAAGAUAUCUAUCAAGGCUGUUCCCAUGUCACUUGUUUUGGAGGAUAGCAGUUCAAAAUCAUACCUGUGCAAUAUUAUGGAUACACCUGGCCAUGUAAACUUUUCGGAUGAGAUGACUGCAGCGCUCAGGCUUGCUGAUGGUGCAGUGUUAAUUGUGGAUGCUGCAGAAGGAGUGAUGGUAAACACGGAGAGAGCAAUACGGCAUGCAAUUCAGGAACGGCUUCCCAUAGUAGUUGUAAUAAACAAGGUUGACAGGUUAAUAACCGAACUGAAGUUGCCUCCGAAGGAUGCCUACCAUAAGCUAAGACACACACUUGAAGUAAUAAACAACCACAUAAGUGCUGUUUCUUCAACUGCUGGAAAUGUCCAAAUUGUUGAUCCUGCUAUUGGAAAUGUUUGUUUUGCAAGUGCCAGUGCAGGAUGGUCCUUUACCUUGCAGUCCUAUGCUAAACUAUACGUUAAGCUCCAUGGUAUUCCAUUUGAUGCUAAUAAGUUUGCUUCUCGUCUUUGGGGUGAUUAUUACUUUGAUCCUGAUACUAGAACUUUCAAGAAGAAACAACCUGCUAGUGGAGUGGAACGAUCCUUUGUCCAGUUUGUUCUUGAACCUCUGUAUAAAAUAUACAGCCAAGUGAUUGGAGAACAUAAAAAGAGCGUGGAGGCUACCCUUAGUGAACUUGGUGUAACUUUGAGCAAUGCAGCCUACCGAUUAAAUGUUAGACCUCUAUUAAGAUUAGCAUGUAGCUCAGUUUUUGGUAGUGCCACAGGGUUUACAGACAUGUUGGUUCAACACAUUCCAUCUGCUAAAGAUGCUGCGCCUCGGAAGGUUGAUAACAUCUACACUGGGCCUAAGGAUUCUGCAAUUUAUCAGGCAAUGGUUGAUUGUGACGCAGCAGGUCCUCUAAUGGUUAAUGUAACUAAACUGUAUCCCAAAUCUGACUGCAGUGUGUUUGAUGCCUUUGGUAGAGUCUAUAGUGGUGAAAUUUUGAAAGGACAAACUGUCCGCGUACUAGGAGAAGGAUAUUCUCCAGAUGACGAAGAGGACAUGACAGUGAAGGAAGUAACAAAAUUAUGGGUCUAUCAAUCACGAUAUAGGAUUCCUAUUAACAAGGCUCCUCCUGGUUCUUGGGUUCUUAUUGAAGGUGUGGAUGCAUCUAUUAUGAAGACUGCUACACUCUGCAACUUGGAAUACGAUGAUGAUGUGUAUAUAUUCAGGCCCCUCCAGUUUAAUACCCUUCCUGUGGUUAAAACUGCCACGGAACCCCUGAAUCCUAGUGAGCUACCAAAAAUGGUGGAGGGUCUUAGGAAGAUCAGCAAAAGUUAUCCACUAGCCAUAACAAAGGUUGAAGAAUCAGGGGAGCAUACCAUUUUAGGUACUGGAGAACUCUACUUGGACUCUAUAAUGAAGGACCUUAGAGAGCUCUAUUCUGAAGUCGAAGUCAAGGUGGCAGAUCCUGUUGUGUCAUUUUGUGAAACAGUUGUAGAAUCCUCUUCAAUGAAAUGUUUUGCUGAGACUCCAAACAAGAAAAAUAAAAUCACCAUGAUUGCAGAGCCAUUGGAGAGAGGGCUUGCUGAGGACAUAGAAAAUGGUGUUGUAAGCAUUGAUUGGCCACGGAAGAAGCUUGGUGAUUUUUUCCAGACAAAAUAUGACUGGGAUCUGCUAGCUGCACGGUCUAUUUGGGCAUUUGGUCCAGAUAAGCAGGGACCUAAUAUUUUGUUGGAUGAUACGCUGUCAAGUGAAGUUGAUAAGGGCUUGCUUUCUGGAGUCAAAGAUUCUAUUGUUCAAGGGUUUCAGUGGGGUGCACGAGAAGGUCCUCUCUGUGAUGAGCCCAUCAGGAAUGUGAAAUUCAAAAUAGUGGAUGCUAAAAUUGCACCCGAACCACUAAAUCGUGGAACUGGUCAGAUCAUUCCAACUGCUCGGCGUGUUGCCUAUUCAGCUUUUCUCAUGGCAACACCUAGGCUCAUGGAACCUGUGUAUUACGUGGAGAUACAAACUCCAAUAGAUUGUGUUUCGGCAAUAUAUACGGUGUUGUCGCGUAGACGUGGUCAUGUUACUGCUGAUGUUCCACAACCAGGGACCCCUGCCUACAUUGUUAAGGCAUUUUUACCUGUUAUCGAGUCAUUUGGCUUUGAAACAGACCUGAGGUAUCAUACACAGGGCCAAGCAUUUUGCUUAUCUGUGUUUGAUCAUUGGGCUAUUGUUCCCGGGGAUCCUCUCGACAAGAGUAUUGUUCUGCGCCCAUUGGAGCCCGCUCCAAUCCAGCAUUUGGCUCGGGAAUUUAUGGUCAAGACCAGGCGUAGGAAGGGAAUGUCUGAGGACGUAAGCAUUAACAAAUUCUUUGAUGAGGCAAUGGUUGUAGAACUAGCGCAGCAGGCGGCCGAUCUCCAUCAACAAAUGAUCUAAAUAUGGCGUCUAGUUUUUGCAGAUUGUUGAUUCCAAAACUCUACCAACAGGAGGUCUUGGAACAGGCACAACAGCCAAAAACAGAGCCGAGGGCGCGACGACGAGGUUUAGGAUCAGACGGCGGCGUAUUCACCUCCAUCGCCGUGGAAUUUGAUCGUCGUGAUUGUGGAGAUGCAUCGAUGAGCUGACGAUUAGAUCUCGAGAUGGGAUGGAAGCUGAAAUCCCCGGAUUUGUCGCGGGGCGACGGAGUCGACGACUUGGCGUCGGGGAAUUGAAUCCUGCUGUCCCAAAUGCGGCCGGAGGAGCCCUGCCGCCGGAAUGAGUAGGACGAUCUCUGCAAUGCGCUCAUCGGUCGAUCGAUAUGG
This is an RNA transcript of Andrographis paniculata, 3514 nucleotides long. It is a transcript of the gene named 110 kDa U5 small nuclear ribonucleoprotein component CLO, with no coding region annotated. The record is from RefSeq and is a predicted model, not a curated record. Lineage: Eukaryota; Viridiplantae; Streptophyta; Magnoliopsida; Lamiales; Acanthaceae. The transcript is spliced from 12 exons.